Molecule: ribosomal RNA, 513 nt
Filed under: uncultured bacterium
Lineage: Bacteria
Description: partial 16S ribosomal RNA
Rfam family: Bacterial small subunit ribosomal RNA
Source: RNAcentral
GAUGAACGCUGGCGGCGUGCCUAAUACAUGCAAGUCGAGCGAAAAGAAGAGGAGCUUGCUCCUCUGACGUUAGCGGUGGACGGGUGAGUAACACGUGGAUAACCUACCUAUAAGACUGGGAUAACUUCGGGAAACCGGAGCUAAUACCGGAUAACAUGUUGAACCGCAUGGUUCAACAGUGAAAGACGGUCUUGCUGUCACUUAUAGAUGGAUCCGCGCCGCAUUAGAUAGUUGGUAAGGUAACGGCGUACCAAGGCAACGAUGCGUAGCCGCGCGGGGAGGGGGAUCGGCCACGCUGGAACUGAGACACGGUCCAGACUCCUACGGGAGGCAGCAGUAGGGAAUCUUCCGGAAUGGGCGAAAGCCGGACGGAGCAACGCAGCGUGAGUGAAGAAGGUCUUCGGAUCGUAAAACUCUGUUAUUAGUGAAGAACAAAUGUGUAAGUAACUAUGCACGUCUUGACGGUACCUAAUCAGAAAGCCACGGCUAACUACGUGCCAGCCGCCGCCGUAA